Molecule: unclassified non-coding RNA, 217 nt
Filed under: Hevea brasiliensis (rubber tree)
Lineage: Eukaryota; Viridiplantae; Streptophyta; Magnoliopsida; Malpighiales; Euphorbiaceae
Source: RNAcentral
AGAAAGAAGAAGAAGAGAGGGGAGAAGAAGAGAGAAGGGAAAAUGAAGGGGGGGGUUCCUCCUCCCGUUUUUUUUUUUGAAUCCCAUUUUUUUUUUUUUAAAUGUUUGCAGUGGUGCUUAAAUUAGCUUCACAAACAUUUUAAUUAAUUCUUAUUAACUGAGUUUAUAUAAUAAUGCACUCAUUAUUUACAAACUAUCUUUGACGCACAAAUUUUUU